Molecule: ribosomal RNA, 393 nt
Filed under: uncultured bacterium
Lineage: Bacteria
Description: partial 16S ribosomal RNA
Rfam family: Bacterial small subunit ribosomal RNA
Source: RNAcentral
AUACGGAGGAUCCGAGCGUUAUCCGGAUUUAUUGGGUUUAAAGGGAGCGUAGGCGGACGCUUAAGUCAGUUGUGAAAGUUUGCGGCUCAACCGUAAAAUUGCAGUUGAUACUGGGUGUCUUGAGUACAGUAGAGGCAGGCGGAAUUUGUGGUGUAGCGGUGAAAAUCAUAGAUAUCACGAAGAAAUCCGAUUGCGAAGGCAGCUCACUAGACAGUUACUGACACUGAUGCUCGAAAGUGUGGGUAUCAAACAGGAUUAGAUACCCUGGUAGUCCACACAGUAAACGAUGAAUACUCGCUGUUUGAGAUAUACAGUAAGCGGCCAAGCGAAAGCCUUAAGUAUUCCACCUGGGGAGUUCGCCGGCAUCGGUGAACCUCAAAUGAAUUGACGGGG